GGAUAGCUCAGUUGGCAGAGCAUGAGACUCAUGAUGUCAGGGUCAUGGGUUUGAGCCCCAUGUUGGGCA
Molecule: non-coding RNA, 69 nt
Organism: Podarcis lilfordi (Lilford's wall lizard)
Lineage: Eukaryota; Metazoa; Chordata; Lepidosauria; Squamata; Lacertidae
Source: the annotation of a GenBank genome assembly